Molecule: ribosomal RNA, 453 nt
Filed under: uncultured bacterium
Lineage: Bacteria
Description: partial 16S ribosomal RNA
Rfam family: Bacterial small subunit ribosomal RNA
Source: RNAcentral
UGGGAAUUUUGGACAAUGGCGAAAGCCUGAUCCAGCAAUGCCGCGUGUGUGAAGAAGGCCUUCGGGUUGUAAAGCACUUUUUGUCCGGAAAGAAAUCCUUGGCUUCUAAUACAGUCGGGGGAUGACGGUACCGGAAGAAUAAGCACCGGCUAACUACGUGCCAGCAGCCGCGGUAAUACGUAGGGUGCAAGCGUUAAUCGGAAUUACUGGGCGUAAAGCGUGCGCAGGCGGUUUUGCUAAGACCGAUGUGAAAAUCCCCGGGCUCAACCUGGGAACUGCAUUGGUGAGCUGGCAGGCUAGAGUAUGGCAAGAGGGGGGUAGAAUUCCACGUGUAGCAGUGAAAAUGCGUAGAGAUGUGGAGGAAUACCGAUGGCGAAAGGCAGCCCCCUGGGCCAAAUACUGACGCUCAUGCACGAAAAGCGUGGGGAGCAAAACAGGAUUAGAUACCCUGGU